UACAGAGGUCCCAAGCGUUGUUCGGAUUCAUUGGGCGUAAAGGGUGCGUAGGCGGCGCGGUAAGUCGGGUGUGAAAUCUCGGAGCUUAACUCCGAAACUGCAUUCGAUACUGCCGUGCUUGAGGACUGGAGAGGAGACUGGAAUUUACGGUGUAGCGGUGAAAUGCGUAGAUAUUAGGAAGAACACCGGUGGCGAAGGCGGCCCACUGGUCCGGUACUGACGCUGAGGUGCGAAAGCGUGGGGAGCAAACAGG
This 253-nucleotide ribosomal RNA is filed under the name uncultured bacterium. RNAcentral describes it as "partial 16S ribosomal RNA". It matches the Rfam family "Bacterial small subunit ribosomal RNA", at positions 524 to 776 of the family's 1533-position model. The record is from RNAcentral.